ACUCCUGCGGGAGGCAGCAGUAGGGAAUCUUCGGCAAUGGGGGCAACCCUGACCGAGCAACGCCGCGUGAGUGAAGAAGGUUUUCGGAUCGUAAAGCUCUGUUGUAAGUCAAGAACGAGUGUGAGAGUGGAAAGUUCACACUGUGACGGUAGCUUACCAGAAAGGGACGGCUAACUACGUGCCAGCAGCCGCGGUAAUACGUAGGUCCCGAGCGUUGUCCGGAUUUAUUGGGCGUAAAGCGAGCGCAGGCGGUUUGAUAAGUCUGAAGUUAAAGGCUGUGGCUCAACCAUAGUUCGCUUUGGAAACUGUCAAACUUGAGUGCAGAAGGGGAGAGUGGAAUUCCAUGUGUAGCGGUGAAAUGCGUAGAUAUAUGGAGGAACACCGGUGGCGAAAGCGGCUCUCUGGUCUGUAACUGACGCUGAGGCUCGAAAGCGUGGGGAGCGAACAGGAUUAGAAACCCUUGUAGUCCCAUG
This 473-nucleotide ribosomal RNA is filed under the name uncultured organism. RNAcentral's name for it is "partial 16S ribosomal RNA". It matches the Rfam family "Bacterial small subunit ribosomal RNA", at positions 335 to 799 of the family's 1533-position model. The record is from RNAcentral.